This 500-nucleotide ribosomal RNA is filed under the name uncultured bacterium. RNAcentral describes it as "partial 16S ribosomal RNA". It matches the Rfam family "Bacterial small subunit ribosomal RNA", at positions 30 to 523 of the family's 1533-position model. The record is from RNAcentral.
AUUGAACGCUGGCGGCAGGCCUAACACAUGCAAGUCGAGCGGAUGAGGGAAGCUUGCUUCCCGCUUUAGACGCGGACGGGUGAGUAAUGCCUAGGAAUCUGCCUAUUAGUGGGGGAUAAGGUUCCGAAAGGAACGCUAAUACCCACUAAGUCCGACGGGAGAAAGUGGGGGAUCGUCGGAUACCACGUAAUUAGAUGCGCGUGGGUCGGAUUAGCUAGUUGGUGAGGUAACGGCUCACCAAGGCGACGAUCCGUAGCUGGUCUGAGAGGAUGAUCAGCCACACUGGAACUGAGACACGGUCCAGACUCCUACGGGAGGCAGCAGUGGGGAAUAUUGGACAAUGGGCGAAAGCCUGAUCCAGCCAUGCCGCGUGUGUGAAGAAGGUCUUCGGAUUGUAAAGCACUUUAAGUUGGGAGGAAGGGUUGUAAGCUAAUAUCUUGCAGCUUUGACGUUACCAACAGAAUAAGCACCGGCUAACUCUGUGCCAGCCGCCGCCGUAA